ACUAAAGUAGUUUAUAAAAAAUUUAGAUUUGUGGAUUCUAAGAAGUUAAUGAGAAAACCUUAAGUU
This 66-nucleotide transfer RNA is filed under the name Hishimonus phycitis. Its description in RNAcentral is "tRNA-His". Lineage: Eukaryota; Metazoa; Arthropoda; Insecta; Hemiptera; Cicadellidae. The record is from RNAcentral.